Molecule: ribosomal RNA, 472 nt
Filed under: uncultured bacterium
Lineage: Bacteria
Description: bacterial SSU rRNA
Rfam family: Bacterial small subunit ribosomal RNA
Source: RNAcentral
AACGAACGUUAGCGGCGCGCUUAACACAUGCAAGUCGUGCGAGAAAGGGAGCAAUCCCCGGUACAGCGGCGCACGGGUGAGUAACACGUAGGUAAUCUGCCCUUGGGUGGGGGAUAACCUUCCGAAAGGAGGGCUAAUACCGACAAUAAGACCAAGCUUCCGAGAGGGAGCGAGGUAAAAGCCGGCCAAUUCACGAAAGCUGGCGCCUGAGGAUGAGCCUGCGGCCCAUCAGCUAGUUGGUAGGGUAAUGGCCUACCAAGGCUAAGACGGGUAGCUGGUCUGAGAGGAUGAUCAGCCACACUGGAACUGAGACACGGUCCAGACUCCUACGGGAGGCAGCAGUGGGGAAUCUUGCGCAAUGGGGGAAACCCUGACGCAGCGACGCCGCGUGAGUGAUGAAGGCCUUCGGUUGUAAGCUCUGUGGAGAGGGACGAAUAAGUGUGGUCGAAUAGGCCGCGAUGAUGACGGUACC